UCAAAACGACUCUCGGCAACGGAUAUCUCGGCUCUCGCAUCGAUGAAGAACGUAGCGAAAUGCGAUACUUGGUGUGAAUUGCAGAAUCCCGUGAACCAUCGAGUCUUUGAACGCAAGUUGCGCCCGAAGCCAUUAGGCCNAGGGCACNUCUGCCUGGGCGUCAC
This 164-nucleotide ribosomal RNA is filed under the name Antirrhinum majus (snapdragon). RNAcentral describes it as "5.8S ribosomal RNA". It matches the Rfam family "5.8S ribosomal RNA". From Rfam's summary of the family: 5.8S ribosomal RNA (5.8S rRNA) is a component of the large subunit of the eukaryotic ribosome. It is transcribed by RNA polymerase I as part of the 45S precursor that also contains 18S and 28S rRNA. Functionally, it is thought that 5.8S rRNA may be involved in ribosome translocation. Lineage: Eukaryota; Viridiplantae; Streptophyta; Magnoliopsida; Lamiales; Plantaginaceae. The record is from RNAcentral.